This 257-nucleotide ribosomal RNA is filed under the name uncultured Lactobacillus sp. RNAcentral describes it as "partial 16S ribosomal RNA". It matches the Rfam family "Bacterial small subunit ribosomal RNA", at positions 107 to 354 of the family's 1533-position model. Lineage: Bacteria; Bacillati; Bacillota; Bacilli; Lactobacillales; Lactobacillaceae. The record is from RNAcentral.
UGAGUAACGCGUGGGUAACCUGCCCUUAAGUCUGGGAUACCAUUUGGAAACAGAUGCUAAUACCGGAUAAAAGCUACUUUCGCAUGAAAGAAGUUUAAAAGGCGGCGUAAGCUGUCGCUAAAGGAUGGACCUGCGAUGCAUUAGCUAGUUGGUAAGGUAACGGCUUACCAAGGCGAUGAUGCAUAGCCGAGUUGAGAGACUGAUCGGCCACAUUGGGACUGAGACACGGCCCAAACUCCUACGGGAGGCAGCAGGCU